This 65-nucleotide transfer RNA is filed under the name Limnadia lenticularis. RNAcentral describes it as "tRNA-Leu". It matches the Rfam family "tRNA". Rfam says of the family: Transfer RNA (tRNA) molecules are approximately 80 nucleotides in length. Lineage: Eukaryota; Metazoa; Arthropoda; Branchiopoda; Diplostraca; Limnadiidae. The record is from RNAcentral.
ACUAAUCUGGCAGAUUAAUGCGAUAGACUUAGAAUCUAUUUAUGGGAUAUAUUUCUCGGUUAGUA